CAAAAUGUAGCUUAACAUAAAGCAUUUAGCUUACACCUAAAAGAUUUCAGAUAACCUGACCAUUUUGA
This 68-nucleotide transfer RNA is filed under the name Dactylopsila palpator (long-fingered triok). Its description in RNAcentral is "tRNA-Val". It matches the Rfam family "tRNA". Rfam says of the family: Transfer RNA (tRNA) molecules are approximately 80 nucleotides in length. Their secondary structure includes four short double-helical elements and three loops (D, anti-codon, and T loops). Further hydrogen bonds mediate the characteristic L-shaped molecular structure. tRNAs have two regions of fundamental functional importance: the anti-codon, which is responsible for specific mRNA codon recognition, and the 3' end, to which the tRNAs corresponding amino acid is attached (by aminoacyl-tRNA synthetases). tRNAs cope with the degeneracy of the genetic code in two manners: having more than one tRNA (with a specific anti-codon) for a particular amino acid; and 'wobble' base-pairing, i.e. permitting non-standard base-pairing at the 3rd anti-codon position. The record is from RNAcentral. Lineage: Eukaryota; Metazoa; Chordata; Mammalia; Diprotodontia; Petauridae.